This 261-nucleotide unclassified non-coding RNA is filed under the name uncultured Trichoderma. RNAcentral's name for it is "sequence contains ITS2". The stretch from base 1 to 52 matches the Rfam family "5.8S ribosomal RNA", at positions 103 to 154 of the family's 154-position model. The record is from RNAcentral. Lineage: Eukaryota; Fungi; Ascomycota; Sordariomycetes; Hypocreales; Hypocreaceae.
AACGCACAUUGCGCCCGCCAGUAUUCUGGCGGGCAUGCCUGUCCGAGCGUCAUUUCAACCCUCGAACCCCUCCGGGGGUACGGCGUUGGGGAUCGGCCCUUUACGGGGCCGGCCCCGAAAUACAGUGGCGGUCUCGCCGCAGCCUCUCCUGCGCAGUAGUUUGCACACUCGCAUCGGGAGCGCGGCGCGUCCACGUCCGUAAAACACCCAACUUUCUGAAAUGUUGACCUCGGAUCAGGUAGGAAUACCCGCUGAACUUAA